This 500-nucleotide ribosomal RNA is filed under the name uncultured bacterium. RNAcentral's name for it is "partial 16S ribosomal RNA". It matches the Rfam family "Bacterial small subunit ribosomal RNA", at positions 30 to 523 of the family's 1533-position model. The record is from RNAcentral.
AUUGAACGCUGGCGGCAUGCCUUACACAUGCAAGUCGAACGGCAGCACGGGAGCAAUCCUGGUGGCGAGUGGCGAACGGGUGAGUAAUAUAUCGGAACGUGCCCAGUCGUGGGGGAUAACGCAGCGAAAGCUGUGCUAAUACCGCAUACGAUCUAUGGAUGAAAGCGGGGGAUCGCAAGACCUCGCGCGAUUGGAGCGGCCGAUAUCAGAUUCGCUAGUUGGUGAGGUAAAGGCUCACCAAGGCGACGAUCUGUAGCUGGUCUGAGAGGACGACCAGCGACACUGGAACGGAAACACGGGCCAGACUCCUACGGGAGGCAGCAGUGGGGAAUUUUGGACAAUGGGCGAAAGCCUGAUCCAGCAAUGCCGCGUGCAGGAUGAAGGCCUUCGGGUUGUAAACUGCUUUUGUACGGAACGAAACGGUGAGCUCUAAUACAGUUUGCUAAUGACGGUACCGUAAGAAUAAGCACCGGCUAACUACGUGCCAGCCGCCGCGGUAA